RNAcentral lists this ribosomal RNA (253 nucleotides) under uncultured bacterium. RNAcentral's name for it is "partial 16S ribosomal RNA". It matches the Rfam family "Bacterial small subunit ribosomal RNA", at positions 524 to 776 of the family's 1533-position model. The record is from RNAcentral.
GACAGAGGGUGCGAACGUUGUUCGGAAUUACUGGGCGUAAAGCGCAUGUAGGCGGCAGCGCAAGUCGGGCGUGAAAUCCCACGGCUCAACCGUGGAAGUGCACUCGAAACUGCGCAGCUAGAGUCCUGGAGAGGAAGGUGGAAUGCUUGGUGUAGAGGUGAAAUUCGUAGAUAUCAAGCGGAACACCGGUGGCGAAGGCGGCCUUCUGGACAGUGACUGACGCUGAGAUGCGAAAGCGUGGGGAGCAAACCGG